This 429-nucleotide ribosomal RNA is filed under the name Bacteroidota bacterium. Its description in RNAcentral is "Bacteroidetes bacterium partial 16S ribosomal RNA". It matches the Rfam family "Bacterial small subunit ribosomal RNA", at positions 355 to 776 of the family's 1533-position model. The record is from RNAcentral. Lineage: Bacteria; Pseudomonadati; Bacteroidota.
UAGGGAAUCUUCCGCAAUGGACGCAAGUCUGACGGAGCAACGCCGCGUGAGUGAAGAAGGAUUUCGGUUCGUAAAACUCUGUUGUUAGAGAAGAACAGCGCAUAGAGUAACUGUUAUGCGUGUGACGGUAUCUAACCAGAAAGCCACGGCUAACUACGUGCCAGCAGCCGCGGUAAUACGUAGGUGGCAAGCGUUGUCCGGAUUUAUUGGGCGUAAAGCGAGCGCAGGCGGUCAAUUAAGUCGGAUGUGAAAGCCCCCGGCUCAACCGGGGAGGGUCAUUGGAAACUGGUUGACUUGAGUGCAGAAGAGGAGAGUGGAAUUCCAUGUGUAGCGGUGAAAUGCGUAGAUAUAUGGAGGAACACCAGUGGCGAAGGCGACUCUCUGGUCUGUAACUGACGCUGAGGUUCGAAAGCGUGGGUAGCAAACAGG